GCAAGAAGAUCGAGGCCGAUCCCACCCGCCCCGCAUACAUCCAGACCGUCUACGGGAUCGGUUACAAGCUGGGCUACGCAUCGGAAGCGGUGGAAGCGGAAAGGUAAUGGACAAAUAUGUUGCAUAGUUUGCGGGUGCGCCUCCUUCUGACGAUGGGCCUCGUCGUCCUCAUGGCCGUGGGCACCAUAGCCUUCUUCACAAGCCGCUGGACGCUCGGCGAGUUCCGCACAUACGUCAGGCGAGACAUGGAGCAGAACCAGCGCAUCGUCUCCGAUCUCCUCGACCAGUACAACGGCGAUCCAAGCCCCGAAAACUUGCAGGUGCUGGUCGACCGGCUGGCGGGCAUUUCCAGCGAGCGCUUCGUGGUGGCCGAUCGGGACGGCAACAUCCUUGCCGACUCCGAGCACACCCUGGUGGGCGAGACACUGCCCCUGCCCGUCCCUUUUGAAGCCGGCGCAGGCGGGGUCGCCUU
This 472-nucleotide unclassified non-coding RNA is filed under the name uncultured fungus. RNAcentral describes it as "sequence contains 18S rRNA gene, ITS1, 5.8S rRNA gene, ITS2, 28S rRNA gene". The record is from RNAcentral. Lineage: Eukaryota; Fungi.